RNAcentral lists this ribosomal RNA (482 nucleotides) under uncultured bacterium. RNAcentral's name for it is "partial 16S ribosomal RNA". It matches the Rfam family "Bacterial small subunit ribosomal RNA", at positions 28 to 523 of the family's 1533-position model. The record is from RNAcentral.
GACGAACGCUGGAGGCGUGCUUAACACAUGCAAGUCGAACGAUGAAAUGGAGCUUGCUCCAUGGAUUAGUGGCGAACGGGUGAGUAACACGUGAAUAACCUGCCCUUAAUUUUGGAAUAACCCAGGGAAACCUGGGCUAAUACCGGAUAAGUAAACCUGUGGCAUCACAUGGUUUUGGAAAGUCUUUCGAUUAAGGAUGGAUUCGCGGCCUAUUAGCUUGUUGGUGAGGUAAUGGCUCACCAAGGCGACGACGGGUAGCCGGCCUGAGAGGGUGAACGGCCACACUGGGACUGAGACACGGCCCAGACUCCUACGGGAGGCAGCAGUGGGGAAUAUUGCGCAAUGGACGAAAGUCUGACGCAGCGACGCCUCGUGAGGGACGAAGGUCUUCGGAUUGUAAACCUCUUUCAGCAGGGACGAAGCGAAAGUGACGGUACCUGCAGAAGAAGCACCGGCUAACUAUGUGCCAGCCGCCGCAGUAA